ACUCAAAUGAAUUGACGGGGACUUGCACAAGCGGUGGAUCAUGCGGCUCAAUUCGAUGACAAACGAAGAACCUCACCAGGGUUAGAAACCAAGACGAUUGGUCUAGGAAACUAGAUCGUCCGCAAGGCGGCUUGGCAGGUGAUGCAUGGUCGUCGUCAGUUCGUGGCUUGAGUUGUUCCCUUCAGUGGGGUAACGAACGCAACCCUCGUUGCCUGUUUUAUAUGUCAGGCGAGACUGCCCCCUCACGGGGGAGGAAGGUGAGGAUGACGCCAGAUCAGCAUGUCCCUCUGAUAUCCUGGGCUGCACGCAUGAUACAAUGGGCGCGACAACGAGACGCGAAAGGGUAACCUGGAGCAAAUCUUUAUAAACGCGCCCCCAGUUCGGAUUGAGGUCUGCAACUCGACCUCAUGAAGCCGGAAUCGCUAGUAAUCGCGGGUCAGCUAUACCGCGGUGAAUACGUUCUCAAGUCUUGUACACACCGCCCGU
RNAcentral lists this ribosomal RNA (486 nucleotides) under uncultured bacterium. RNAcentral's name for it is "partial 16S ribosomal RNA". It matches the Rfam family "Bacterial small subunit ribosomal RNA", at positions 899 to 1397 of the family's 1533-position model. The record is from RNAcentral.